CGACUCUUCGCGACCUCAUGGACUGCAGCCUACCAGGCUCCUCCGUCCAUGGAAUUUUCCAGGCAAGAGUACUGGAGUGAGUUGGCAUUGCCUUCUCCAGGAUAUGGUACUAGCCUUGUCCAUAUUGGGACUAUCUUGGAGUGAUUAGAUUGGAAUGUCUAGGACGGAGAAAGGCCCUUGGGAUCCAGACACAUCCAGUGCCUUGAUCACGUGAUAGAAACCCAGCAGCUGGAAUUCAGACUUGGUGGGCGACAGAUCUGAGUCAUUUUCAUCAGUGGCCAUUAAGAGAGGUGGAGCAGGAAGAAUGAAUACAGGAUUAUGAGGAUGACUGAAUCAUGUAACAACUGUGCACAGCUCAAACACAUCUGGUACUAAAAGACAGGAUAUUCUCACUCAGUUGUUAGAGUGAAAUAAUGCCAUUUGCAGCAUCAUGAAUGGACCUAGGGAUUGUCAUACUGUAAGUCAUAUA
Molecule: long non-coding RNA, 469 nt
Organism: Bubalus bubalis (water buffalo)
Lineage: Eukaryota; Metazoa; Chordata; Mammalia; Artiodactyla; Bovidae
Exons: 2
Source: RefSeq, a predicted model, not a curated record